Long non-coding RNA from Triticum dicoccoides, 838 nucleotides. RefSeq lists it as uncharacterized. The transcript has 4 exons. The record is from RefSeq and is a predicted model, not a curated record. Lineage: Eukaryota; Viridiplantae; Streptophyta; Magnoliopsida; Poales; Poaceae.
UAUCAAGUGAGCCUUCAAGUUCUGACACAAUGUCGAACAUCCCUCUUUAAGCGAAAGUCUGGUUGGCAAUAUGACUAGCCACCCAGCAUGUAUUACUUUCCUUUUUUUAGAAGCUCAAGGUUGUUGGUAAAUUUCUACCAAGCAAUGAUUUGUGAGCUCUAGUGAGAAUACAAACAUUGAGGUGGGGGUGGAGAUGCGGGUCAUCAGGAGACGGGAAGCACUGCAGUCGAUGCAGAGCACCGGCAAUGGCGCUGUUAUCCUCGCACGAUUCGUCAGAUCCAACCUUGCGCCCGUGCCAGCUUUUGAUGGGGCCGUCACUGCAGGGAUGCCCAUGCUCACCGACCACUAGCGCUCCAUUGUGGUGCUCAGCCUCUGCAACUGCGGCCCAAUGAGUUUGGUAAUGCAAGAAGACGCAUGUCUUCAAUAGUGGACGUAAUGCACCAAAGGAAAUACAGUAUAUAAUGUUUGGAUUGACAGGUGGCGAACAGGUUCACACGGCACCGGCUGAACCACCGAUCCAUGACGGCCUCCGCGUUUGCAUGCCUGCUAGCCGCCGAGGUGGAGGACCAUGCAGAAGCUGGUGAGUUUGAUGAACCAGCAGCCGAAGGCGCAUUCAUCAUAUGGAAUGUUUCAAUACUUUGUUAAGGUUGUUCCCACUGUAUUCUCAUUCCUCUCCAAUUAUGGGGCCGUUCUGCAAUGCUCCAGCUCCAAGCUUCCUCAACUUCACAAAUGAAGCUGAGGCGAACGCUCUGGCUCCUGGAAGCUGGAAUUGAGAAGCUAGCGAUCUGUCUUAGUGUAAAAAAGGAGAAGAUGGGGAAGCAGCUCUUUUCCAGAUCCG